UCCGAGGUAGCUCAGUCGGUAGAGCAGUUGGCUGUUAACCAAUUGGUCGCGGGUUCGAGUCCCGCCUUCGGAGCCA
This 76-nucleotide transfer RNA is filed under the name Patescibacteria group bacterium. RNAcentral describes it as "tRNA-Asn". It matches the Rfam family "tRNA". Rfam says of the family: Transfer RNA (tRNA) molecules are approximately 80 nucleotides in length. Their secondary structure includes four short double-helical elements and three loops (D, anti-codon, and T loops). The record is from RNAcentral.